UUAGUGGCGGACGGGUGAGUAACGCGUGGAAAACCUGCCGUAUACUGGGGGAUAACACUUAGAAAUAGGUGCUAAUACCGCAUAAGCGCACAGCUUCGCAUGAAGCGGUGUGAAAAACUCUGGUGGUAUACGAUGGUUCCGCGUCUGAUUAGCUAGUUGGUGGGGUAACGGCUUACCAAGGCGACGAUCAGUAGUCGGCCUGAGAGGGUGACCGGCCACAUUGGGACUGAGACACGGCCCAAACUCCUACGGGAGGCAGCAG
RNAcentral lists this ribosomal RNA (262 nucleotides) under uncultured bacterium. Its description in RNAcentral is "partial 16S ribosomal RNA". It matches the Rfam family "Bacterial small subunit ribosomal RNA", at positions 92 to 354 of the family's 1533-position model. The record is from RNAcentral.